This 253-nucleotide ribosomal RNA is filed under the name uncultured bacterium. RNAcentral's name for it is "partial 16S ribosomal RNA". It matches the Rfam family "Bacterial small subunit ribosomal RNA", at positions 524 to 776 of the family's 1533-position model. The record is from RNAcentral.
UACGAAGGGGGCUAGCGUUGUUCGGAAUCACUGGGCGUAAAGGGCGCGUAGGCGGCUUGAUAAGUCGGGGGUGAAAGCCUGUGGCUCAACCACAGAAUUGCCUUCGAUACUGUCGGGCUUGAGACCGGAAGAGGUAAGUGGAACUGCGAGUGUAGAGGUGAAAUUCGUAGAUAUUCGCAAGAACACCAGUGGCGAAGGCGGCUUACUGGUCCGGUUCUGACGCUGAGGCGCGAAAGCGUGGGGAGCAAACAGG